This is a non-coding RNA of Prunus avium (sweet cherry), 708 nucleotides long. The record is from RefSeq and is a predicted model, not a curated record. NCBI's taxonomy places the organism in Eukaryota, Viridiplantae, Streptophyta, Magnoliopsida, Rosales, Rosaceae.
AGCAAAUUUAGGGGCGCAAAUAGAAUUCCCCGAAUACUUGAUCCAGUCUCUGGACUCUGGAGCCUCACCGCACUUCUGAAAAGAAAGAGCAAGCCUCUCGACACCUGAUCUUGCAUUUCCAGUCCACCCCAUUAGAGCCCUCUCUGCUGUGCGCCCUCCAUCUUCAUCUUUCAUUUUCAGUCCCAGCUCCCUCCUUUCAAUCUCUUGCUCGAAAGUUUUACAGGCUCUGAGUAAGCAGAGAAAUGGCCUUAAUGAGGGGAGAGCCACUAGUGACGAAGCUUGCAGUGUUGGCCAAGUAUGUGGUUCUUCCUGGAGCCAUGGUCGCCGCCCUCAUCUAUUCACCUCCUGAUUACACUUCUUCCAAGAACAAUCCUAAGUCCACCAAAUAAGACAUAGCUCGGGCCAUACUGCAUAGAAGUGGAUGUUAGAGAUGUGCUCUCCUCCUGUUCAAAUUUCGUAUGGAAUAAUCUGAGCCUAAUAGAUGCUCAAGUUGAGGGAUUUUUCCUGCUUUCUUUGAAGAACUUUGACAUGAACUCUGUAAAUGUACUUCCUUAUUACCAGAUUUCCUCUGUCAAUCCCUUAAUCGAAUGACUCUCGACGAAGAACACUUGAUUACAAUAAUUGUUAGAUGAUAGUUGUUGCCAGACUGGGUUAGGGAUGAAAUCUCAUUGGUUGACUAGUGCUGCGACUGAUGAUAUGUUUUGUUCA